UCUCAGUUCGGAUUGUAGUCUGCAACUCGACUACAUGAAGCUGGAAUCGCUAGUAAUCGCGAAUCAGAAUGUCGCGGUGAAUACGGUUCCCGGGUCUUGUACACACCGCCCGUCACACCAUGGGAGGUUGGUAACGCCCGAAGUCAGUGACCCAACCAAUAGGAGGGAGCUGCCGAAGGCGGGACCGGUAACUGGGGUGAAGUCGUAACAAGGUACC
RNAcentral lists this ribosomal RNA (217 nucleotides) under uncultured bacterium. RNAcentral describes it as "partial 16S ribosomal RNA". It matches the Rfam family "Bacterial small subunit ribosomal RNA", at positions 1286 to 1500 of the family's 1533-position model. The record is from RNAcentral.